UCAGGGGGCUGGGCGACCGCGGCCGCGCGCAAGCGAGGGCGAGGAAAGUCCGGGCUCCACGGAACGACGGUGCCGGGUAACGCCCGGCGGGGUCGGGGCCUCGGCCAAGGCUUCAGGGAAAGUGCCACAGAAAGCAUACCGCCGGCUCUCGGGCCGGUAAGGGCGAAAGGGUGCGGCAAGAGCGCACCGCGCGGCUGGCAACAGGCGCGGCACGGCAAACCCCACCGGGUGCAAGACCGAAUAGGGGCGACAUAUGGGGCUGUUCCGCCUCGUCGCCCGGGUUGGUUGCUUGAGCGGCAGGGUAACCUGCCGCCUAGAGGAAUGGUCGCCCAUCUUCCGCAAGGAGGAGGACAGAACCCGGCUUACAGGUCCCCUGGCACA
RNAcentral lists this RNase P RNA (381 nucleotides) under Pseudomonadota bacterium. RNAcentral describes it as "RNase P RNA component class A". It matches the Rfam family "Bacterial RNase P class A". From Rfam's summary of the family: Ribonuclease P (RNase P) is a ubiquitous endoribonuclease, found in archaea, bacteria and eukarya as well as chloroplasts and mitochondria. Its best characterised activity is the generation of mature 5'-ends of tRNAs by cleaving the 5'-leader elements of precursor-tRNAs. The record is from RNAcentral. Lineage: Bacteria; Pseudomonadati; Pseudomonadota.